UGGGUUAAUGUGAAAUUCUCAUUAAAAGGAGAAACAAAACACAAGGCUACAUUCUGCAGCUCAGGGAAAAUGGGUUUGUGUCCUGUUGAUGGAGAACGCCUACACACUACAGAUGUGAUAGAUAACUAGAUGAAUAUCAGGGAUGCUGCAAGUGGA
Long non-coding RNA from Trichomycterus rosablanca, 156 nucleotides. RefSeq lists it as uncharacterized. Lineage: Eukaryota; Metazoa; Chordata; Actinopteri; Siluriformes; Trichomycteridae. The transcript is spliced from 3 exons. The record is from RefSeq and is a predicted model, not a curated record.